GAUGAAGAACGUAGCGAACUGCGAUAAGUAAUGUGAAUUGCAGAAUUCAGUGAAUCAUCGAGUCUUUGAACGCACAUUGCGCCCCCUGGCAUUCCGGGGGGCAUGCCUGUCCGAGCGUCAUUGCUGCCCUUCAAGCCCGGCUUGUGUGUGGGGUCGUCGUCCCCCCCGGGGGACGGGCCCGAAAGGCAGCGGCGGCACCGCGUCCGGUCCUCGAGCGUAUGGGGCUUUGUCACCCGCUCGAUUAGGGCCGGCCGGGCGCCAGCCGGCGUCUCCAACCUUCUAUUUUACCAGGUUGACCUCGGAUCAGGUAGGGAUACCCGCUGAACUUAAGCAUAUCAAUAAGCGGAGGA
RNAcentral lists this unclassified non-coding RNA (350 nucleotides) under soil metagenome. RNAcentral's name for it is "partial contains 5.8S ribosomal RNA, internal transcribed spacer 2, and large subunit ribosomal RNA". The stretch from base 1 to 120 matches the Rfam family "5.8S ribosomal RNA", at positions 35 to 154 of the family's 154-position model. The record is from RNAcentral.